Molecule: ribosomal RNA, 1198 nt
Filed under: uncultured bacterium
Lineage: Bacteria
Description: bacterial SSU rRNA
Rfam family: Bacterial small subunit ribosomal RNA
Source: RNAcentral
CGCAUGACAUAUUUCCAUCGCAUGGUGGAGAUAUCAAAGGAGCAAUCCGCUGAAGGAUGGACUCGCGUCCGAUUAGAUAGUUGGCGGGGUAACGGCCCACCAAGUCGACGAUCGGUAGCCGGACUGAGAGGUUGAACGGCCACAUUGGGACUGAGAUACGGCCCAGACUCCUACGGGAGGCAGCAGUGGGGGAUAUUGCACAAUGGGCGAAAGCCUGAUGCAGCAACGCCGCGUGAGGGAAGACGGUUUUCGGAUUGUAAACCUCUGUUCUAAGUGACGAACAAAUGACGGUAGCUUAGGAGAAAGCCCCGGCUAACUACGUGCCAGCAGCCGCGGUAAUACGUAGGGGGCAAGCGUUGUCCGGAAUUACUGGGUGUAAAGGGAGCGCAGGCGGAGAAGCAAGUCAGUGGUGAAAACGAUGGGCUUAACUCAUCGACUGCCAUUGAAACUGUUUCCCUUGAGUGAAGUAGAGGCAGGCGGAAUUCCGAGUGUAGCGGUGAAAUGCGUAGAUAUUCGGAGGAACACCAGUGGCGAAGGCGGCCUGCUGGGCUUUAACUGACGCUGAGGCUCGAAAGUGUGGGGAGCAAACAGGAUUAGAUACCCUGGUAGUCCACACUGUAAACGAUGAUUGCUAGGUGUGGGGGGUCUGACCCCUUCCGUGCCGGAGUUAACGCAAUAAGCAAUCCACCUGGGGAGUACGGCCGCAAGGUUGAAACCCAAAGGAAUUGACGGGGGCCCGCACAAGCAGUGGAUUAUGUGGUUUAAUUCGACGCAACGCGAAGAACCUUACCAGGUCUUGACAUCCAACGAAUCCUUAAGAGAUUAGGGAGUGCCUUUCGGGGAACGUUGAGACAGGUGGUGCAUGGUUGUCGUCAGCUCGUGUCGUGAGAUGUUGGGUUAAGUCCCGCAACGAGCGCAACCCCUGCCAUUAGUUGCUACGCAAGAGCACUCUAAUGGGACCGCUACCGACAAGGUGGAGGAAGGUGGGGACGACGUCAAAUCAUCAUGCCCCUUAUGACCUGGGCUACACACGUAAUACAAUGGCCGUUAACAACGGGAGGCGAAACCGCGAGGUGGAGCAAAACCCUAAAAACGGUCCCAGUUCGGAUCGCAGGCUGCAACCCGCCUGCGUGAAGUUGGAAUUGCUAGUAAUCGCGGAUCAGCAUGCCGCGGUGAAUACGUUCCCGGGCCUUGCACA